Molecule: long non-coding RNA, 300 nt
Filed under: Prunus persica (peach)
Lineage: Eukaryota; Viridiplantae; Streptophyta; Magnoliopsida; Rosales; Rosaceae
Description: long non-coding RNA (PPER_LNC002503)
Source: RNAcentral
UGGGAAGUUGCUCGUGAGCUCCCAGAAACAAAACCGUGAGGGCCAGAGAGGAGGGGCCCAAAGCGGACAAUAUCGUGCUACGGCGGAGCCGAUCCCGGGGUGUGACAAUUUGGUAUCAGAGCCACUCUGCCGUGUGGUGCGAGUGUGCCGACGAGGACGUCGGGCCCUUAAGGGGGGUGGAUUGUAAGAUCCCACAUCAACCAAACGGAGAGGGGGUGAUGUGCCUUGUAUGUGCACACCCGCAUCCAUCUAGCACGAGGCCUUUUGGGAGCUCACUGGCUUCGGAGUCGUAGGAACUCC